Molecule: long non-coding RNA, 4611 nt
Organism: Mytilus californianus (California mussel)
Lineage: Eukaryota; Metazoa; Mollusca; Bivalvia; Mytilida; Mytilidae
Exons: 4
Source: RefSeq, a predicted model, not a curated record
AACGUAUACUGGAUCAUAUACACAUGCUGAAUAUGGUUUGCAAGACACUUCACUGGUUUAAAAUUCUAAACUUAUGUUUACUGACUUUAAAAGCUUUUGGUUUACAGAUGACAACCAAAGUAUCGACCCAGGUUAGCGAUACUGUUGAAUCAUGGAAUACACCAGAUAUCAUGAACUACACUAAUGACGUAAAUAGGUAUAACCUAGACCUUAGUGGAAUAACGUCGUUAAUGAUUGAAAUAAAGGCAUGCAACUAUGCACAUGUCCUUCUAUCAAAUUCUGUUGUCAGAAACUCGUCAAAACCAUUGUAUGAGAUUAUCAUUAGCUAUGCUUUUGACAUAUCGUACAUUAUCUACCGUGCAGAAGAAGGUCAUGAAACAGACUUUUCUACUCCGAAUAUACUAAACUGCACUGUGUAUCUUCCAUUCUGGAUUAGUUGGGCAGAUGGUGAUAUUAAAUUAGGAACUGGGAUUGUCGUUGGUGACUAUGUUUUGGGAAAUUUAAAAAAUACAGAUCAUUUUGUAGUGAGAAGUAUUGGAGUAUUAACAGAUAAAGGUAGAUUAGGAAAAUGGAAAAUAAAAAUUGAAGUUUCAGACAAAUUUGCUGGAUAUUUUGACAGCUGUAAUAUGAGUAAUACCAAGUCUGACGUCGUUGUAGUCGAUGACGUUAAAUGUUCAAGAAUCAGGUGUGCUACGAGCUGUGGACUGUUGAAGACUUGUAUGGGUUUUAAUUUCAACAGUGCCAGGAACAGAUGUGAACUACUCUCGUUUGGAUCAAAUGUUGUGACAGACAUACCACAUCACAUUGAAGCUGGAUGGAGAUUUUAUAGUAAAUGUUACAAUGGGAAAACUGCUUGUCUUGGAUGCUAUUUUUAAGCUACCAUUUGACAGUAGACAGUCUCUGAUAAGGAUAUCAUUUGCAAUUAUUUAUUUGUUUUUAGGUUUUAGAACUGCAUACAUUUAUUGAGUUAAUAUUUGUUAUUUAAAGACAACUGUAAAUUAGCGAUUCUCUAAUCUCGUAAAUCCAUUAAGAAAAUAUCAUUCAAGGUAAAAAAAUAAAAACUGAGGGAAUCGAAUGAACCGUAACAAAACGUGACCGAGUGCUUUAAGCGUCUCCUGCUACUUCUAUCCUUAAAUCACUGUUGAAGAAGAUUGUGUUGUGAAAAGCAUGAACUGUUAAUGAAUCCUGCAUAUGAAUAUGCAUGCUCCUAUCGUAUUUACAUUCAGAUAUGUAAACACCGUACGAUGAAGCAGUAUGUAUGUUACUGCUGGGGAAUCGGAGUUUAAAAAUAGGUAAGCUGAAAUCAUAACGUUAUCAUAGAUCUAAUUUUGAAGUUGUGUUUCUGUGUAAAUACCAAAAAAAAAGAUACAAACCUUCUAGUCUAAGUAGUAUCCUUAACUUCACAAGGAUUUUUGAGAUGCAAUAACAAGCUGUUGUAUAAAAAUUAGGAGAUGAGUUAUGAUUUCCAAUGAGACAACUAUCCACCAAAGUUCAAAUAAAGUUGAUGUAAGCAAUUAUUGGCAACCGUACGGCUUUCAACAAUGAGAAAAAGCCAUACCGUAUAGUCGGCUAUAAAAGGCACAGACAUACAAAAUAUGAAACAAUUCAAUUGAGAAAACUAAAGGCCUAAUUUAAAUAACAAAACAAUUUACGAAAAACAAAUAUAACUGACAUAGACCAACGACAACCUCUGAACUAAAGGCUCCUGACUUGGAACAGGUACAUAAAGAAUAAAGAAGUUUGUGAGCGGUGACCCCCCCCCCCCCCCCCCCCAACCAAGUUUAACCUUGGACAGUGGUGUAACAGCACAAACAUAGGAACAAACUAUAAAAAUCAGUUGAAAAAGGCUGAACUCAUCAAAGGGUAUACAAAGCAGAAAAUCAUCAAACAUAACCACAGACCAGACGUAGCAGGGCAUUUAUCCAUUCCUCAUCCCUAACAACAAAAAGGACACUAUAUACGGAUCUAAGAGUACUCGCAGUUACUGACAGCUAGUUCAAACCCAAUAACAACUAAUAAAAAUAAUCGUGUAUCUAGGACUGUUAUGUAGGUUAUUGAGUGACAAAUCAUGAUUAAUAUAUCUUAAACUGCUAUUUAAAGAACUAGGGAUUUCUUUUCUUUCUUUCUUUUUAUAACUAUAUAUAAAUUCUGCUUCACAUAGAUACAAAAAUAAGCUGAAUGGUAGAGGUGUACAAUAAGUACCCUUUAAUCCACCAUUUUCUGCAUCAGGAAAUGCCUGUUCCAAGUCAGGAAUGUGAAAGUUGUUUUCCAUUCGUUUGAUGUGUUUGAGCUUUUGAUUUUGUCAUUUGAUAAGGGACUUUCCGUUUUGAAUUUUCCUUGGAGUUCGGUAUUUUUGUUAUUUUACUUUUUACAUAUCUAUAUAAAAGUUAAUUUAUUUUACACCGAAAAGACUUACUUACCACUAUCGACAUGUCAAGCAUUGUGCGUGUAUAGAUUUCAGAUGAUUAAUUUCAACUUUAAUGAGUAUAAAGGUGAAAAUUACGUUUGUUGAAAAAGUUGUAACUGAAAUAAAACUGAACGAAUUAAAAGACCUGAACUAAGGUCUUCUAUAAGAAGUGUUCGGAAAGGGAUUUAAAUACUGUGCUAGUGUGAAAUACCAAUACCGAUACAAGAUUUUAAAAUAUACAAUUGCAUUGAAAGGUAACUAUGCGAAGCAUAGUUUUCUUUUGUAGCAAAUAUUAAGCAGGCCUUUUAACAGGUUGAAAUGCAUAUUCCAUUUUAAACAUAUCCUCCUAACCCAAAGAUAAUAAAAUAAACUUCUUUUACGUAUGAAAUCUGAGCGCCUCUUCCAACAAUAUUUCAGUUAUAUAGUGGUUUUCAGUUUUAUUGGUGGAAGAAAUCGUGUUCUUUAUUAGAAUUUAAGGUUACAGAUUUCUCUAUUCUGGAAACAUGAUAUAAAAUAAGGAGAUCGGGUAUGGUUGCCAAAAAAGACAAUUAUCAACCAAAUAUCAAAUAACGUUAAUAUGAGUAACUAUGUAGGUCACUGUAUGGCCUUCAAAAAGAAGCAAAAUCAUACUGCACAAAAAACUUUAAAAGGCCCGACAUAAAAAGCGCAAAUUUCAAAUAAACAAACAUUCUGAACAAAGAUUGAUUCGGAUGUGAUUUGAUUUCAAUCAUUUUUUAUUCAUUAAUUUUGAUCAGUGUGCGGAUUUUCCUUUUAAAUUGAAAAAAAUAGUAAGAAAAGGAGGGACAACGAUUAUGUACUUAAUCGAUCAAUAAUAUGAAAAAAGCAAUUUUAUUAUAAUGAUAUUAAUAUAUAUAUAUAUGAACAAUGAUCGUGUUGUUUUACUGGAUCCUGGUCCAUGUAUAGAGGAAUACAUUGUUAUUAUCUAAUUGUUUAAAAAUCCUCUCAUCAAUAUCAAACACACCCAUACAGGUAACUUUAAUGAUAGAUUAUCUGUGCUUAUUUUAGAUGGUCCCUUUUAUAGGAUAUAGUGAUAUUGGUAGUUAAUAUCAGCACCAGAAUCCUUUUGACUUUUGUAAAACGUCUAUUAAGAAUGACAGGAUUAUUUUCAUAUUAAUGAACGAAUUAAAGAAAAGGAUAAAACCUUGUGUCUUCAAAUGUACAUAGCGUAGCUGCUCAGAAGAAAUUUUAACAUAUUCAUCUCACACGACCUGUUUGGUUCUAAAUAACAUUGAACUGUGCAAUAACAUGCACUUUUUUCACCGUCAUAUUUCAGGAAAUGAAUUAAUUUUUCAAUAUCAUUUAUGCAGAUGGAAUAUAAUUUGCAACACCUUUCAACCUUAACAAACUAAGUUGACAUGACAAAGUUCAAUAUUGUAAUAGAGAAUCGAUGCAGCUUGCGUGGUAUAUAUGUACGGAAUAUCGGAUAAGUCGAACAAUGAUAAAGGGUCCCUUUAAAUUCGACUUAUCGGGAUUUUACUGUAGUAUUUUGUUCUGCUAAUUGUAGUUUUAAUGCUGGUAUAUUUAUAUUGAUGCUUCCAUAACCGCAUUUGUAACCAUUGUUGAGUUUUUGAAAAUGUACAUAAUACCUAAUUAUAUGUUAACCUUCAAUGAAAAUAACACUCAAUAAAAGUUGUACAGCCGAAGAGCAUUUAUUGAUUAACUUUCAUUUGGAAAGCUCGAAUAAAAAACUUUUAAAACUGCAAAUUUUUAUUAAAUUUAAAUUGUGGUCAGACAAAUGUGUACACUUAAGGAAAAGACCUAGAAUAAAAACGUGGGUAUUUGUAUGUUUCAUCUUAUGUCGGAAAGUGCUGGUAUAUCUUAUUAAGAAUUAUUUUUAUGUCGAACUAUAUUACAAAUAAUUGAACAAUUUUUGAUUGAAACUUUUUAUCAUAUGAAAAAAAGGUUUAGGUUGGACGGAAAAAUUCAAGAUUCAAUGAACUUCGUAUGUUUUACAAAGACAAAUUUUUAAUCAACUGACAUAAGCUUUCAGCCGUUUUAUAUUGUGCAUCUUCAAAAUAAAUUGUUUAGUUGUUUAUUUAUGUAUAAUUUUAUAUGAGUGUAUGCUUCUAAUCAUCUUACCAUAUGUGUUAGUGUUAGCUUUAUAUGGAAUUUCUAUUCAUGAAUGUGUAAUUUUGCAUAAAAGUUGUUAGUUUUUAAAUGUGUUAAUAAAGAAAAUUUUGUGU